This 497-nucleotide ribosomal RNA is filed under the name uncultured bacterium. Its description in RNAcentral is "partial 16S ribosomal RNA". It matches the Rfam family "Bacterial small subunit ribosomal RNA", at positions 28 to 507 of the family's 1533-position model. The record is from RNAcentral.
GACGAACGCUGGCGGCGUGCCUAAUACAUGCGAGUUGAGCGCUGAAGGUUGGUCCUUGUACCAACUGGAUGAGCAGCGAACGGGUGAGUAACGCGUGGGGAAUCUGCCUUUGAGCGGGGGACAACAUUUGGAAACGAAUGCUAAUACCGCAUAAAAACUUUAAACACAAGUUUUAAGUUUGAAAGAUGCAAUUGCAUCACUCAAAGAUGAUCCCGCGUUGUAUUAGCUAGUUGGUGAGGUAAAGGCUCACCAAGGCGAUGAUACAUAGCCGACCUGAGAGGGUGAACGGCCACCUUGGGACUGAGACACGGCACAAACUCCUACGGGAGGCAGCAGUAGGGAAUCUUCGGCAAUGGACGGAAGUCUGACCGAGCAACGCCGCGUGAGUGAAGAAGGUUGUCGGAUCGUAAAACUCUGUUGGUAGAGAAGAACGUUGGUGAGAGUGGAAAGCUCAUCAAGUGACGGUAACUACUCAGAAAGGGACGGCUAACUACGUG